RNAcentral lists this ribosomal RNA (1357 nucleotides) under uncultured bacterium. RNAcentral's name for it is "bacterial SSU rRNA". It matches the Rfam family "Bacterial small subunit ribosomal RNA", at positions 8 to 1365 of the family's 1533-position model. The record is from RNAcentral.
AGAGUUUGAUCCUGGCUCAGGAUGAACGCUGGCGGCGUGCCUAAUACAUGCAAGUCGAACGCUUCACUUCGGUGAAGAGUGGCGAACGGGUGAGUAAUACAUAAGUAACCUGGCAUCUACAGGGGGAUAACUGAUGGAAACGUCAGCUAAGACCGCAUAGGUGUAGAGAUCGCAUGAACUCUAUAUGAAAAGUGCUACGGGACUGGUAGAUGAUGGACUUAUGGCGCAUUAGCUUGUUGGUAGGGUAACGGCCUACCAAGGCGACGAUGCGUAGCCGACCUGAGAGGGUGACCGGCCACACUGGGACUGAGACACGGCCCAGACUCCUACGGGAGGCAGCAGUAGGGAAUUUUCGGCAAUGGGGGAAACCCUGACCGAGCAACGCCGCGUGAAGGAAGAAGUAAUUCGUUAUGUAAACUUCUGUCAUAGAGGAAGAACGGUGGAUAUAGGGAAUGAUAUCCAAGUGACGGUACUCUAUAAGAAAGCCACGGCUAACUACGUGCCAGCAGCCGCGGUAAUACGUAGGUGGCGAGCGUUAUCCGGAAUUAUUGGGCGUAAAGAGGGAGCAGGCGGCACUAAGGGUCUGUGGUGAAAGAUCGAAGCUUAACUUCGGUAAGCCAUGGAAACCGUAGAGCUAGAGUGUGUGAGAGGAUCGUGGAAUUCCAUGUGUAGCGGUGAAAUGCGUAGAUAUAUGGAGGAACACCAGUGGCGAAGGCGACGAUCUGGCGCAUAACUGACGCUCAGUCCCGAAAGCGUGGGGAGCAAAUAGGAUUAGAUACCCUAGUAGUCCACGCCGUAAACGAUGAGUACUAAUGGUGGGGGGGCAAACCUCAGUGCUGCAGUUAACGCAAUAAGUACUCCGCCUGAGGAGAUCGUUGGCAAGAAGAAACUUCAAAGGAAUUGACGGGGGGCCCGCACAAGCGAUGGAGCAUGUUGGUUUAAUUGGAAGCAACUCCGAAGAACCUUACCAGGUCUUGACAUCGAUCUAAAGGGCUCCAGAGAUGGAGAGAUAGCUAUAGAGAAGACAGGUGGCUGCAUGGUUGUCGUCAGCUCGUGUCGGUGAGAUGUUGGGUUAAGUCCCGCAACGAGCGCAACCCCUGUUGCCAGUUGCCAGCAUUAAGUUGGGGACUCUGAGCGAGACUGCCGGUGACAAGCCGGAGGAAGGCGGGGAUGACGUCAAAUCAUCAUGCCCCUUAUGACCUGGGCUACACACGUGCUACAAUGGACAGAGCAGAGGGAAGCGAAGCCGCGAGGUGGAGCGAAACCCAUAAAACUGUUCUCAGUUCGGACUGCAGUCUGCAACUCGACUGCACGAAGAUGGAAUCGCUAGUAAUCGCGAAUCAGCAUGUCGCGGUGA